This 447-nucleotide ribosomal RNA is filed under the name uncultured bacterium. Its description in RNAcentral is "partial 16S ribosomal RNA". It matches the Rfam family "Bacterial small subunit ribosomal RNA", at positions 331 to 792 of the family's 1533-position model. The record is from RNAcentral.
CCAGACUCCUACGGGAGGCAGCAGUGGGGAAUAUUGGGCAAUGGGCGCAAGCCUGACCCAGCAACGCCGCGUGAAGGAAGAAGGCUUUCGGGUUGUAAACUUCUUUUAUUCGGGACGAAGAAAGUGACGGUACCGAAUGAAUAAGCCACGGCUAACUACGUGCCAGCAGCCGCGGUAAUACGUAGGUGGCAAGCGUUGUCCGGAUUUACUGGGUGUAAAGGGCGUGUAGCCGGGCUGACAAGUCAGAUGUGAAAUCCGGGGGCUCAACCCCCGAACUGCAUUUGAAACUGUUGGUCUUGAGUAUCGUAGAGGCAGGCGGAAUUCCUAGUGUAGCGGUGAAAUGCGUAGAUAUUAGGAGGAACACCAGUGGCGAAGGCGGUCAACUGGACAGCAACUGACGCUGAGGCGCGAAAGCGUGGGGAGCAAACAGGAUUAGAUACCCGUGUA